AUCCCCUCUAGAGAAUGCAGCAGGAAGGGUCCAUCUUGGAAGCUGAGACGGGACUCUCACCAGACACAGAGACUGCCAAUGCCUUGAUCUUGAACAUUCCAGCAUCCAGAACGGAUUCCCAGAGAGAAGGAAAGGGUGUCUUCACUAGGCUUCAUGGUAGCAAGCACAAUCACUGCAUAAGAAGUGCAGGGACAGCAGAGUGACCCUUCUGUGAACACAUCCAAUGACUGGAGUCCGGAGGCCUAUGGGCUGGAAGUGAGUGUGCCAACAACCAGAGCCCUGGGUAAGAAGGGAACUGCAUCGCAAGGAGGCCCAAUUAAACUGCAAUUACUCAAGAUAAGAAAACGAGGUCUGUUUACACAAUGGGGUUGUAAACCACCGGCUGUGACAAGAGAACUUUGAUCUGGUGGCAAGGGAGCUGUUUCUCAUGCAGGGCAGUGAUGAAACAAGGAGGUUUCCCAAUGAGGAUGUCUCCAUCUUCACCCCAGUAGCCCCAUCUUCUUCUGGUAGCACCCUUGCAUGGACAAGCGGAAAUCCUCACCCCUUCCCAGCCCCAGUAUCCACCUAACACAAUCAAAAAGUGAAGAAUAGAAAGAGAUGAGAUAGUGACUAAAAGGAAAAGAGAAUUGAUGGAGGUCAUCUUUGUGGAGGCGCUUGACAAGCAUGUUCUCACUGAACCGUCACAGUGACCUUCCACGUACCUUAUACCAUGCCUAUUUUACAGAUGAAGACACUGAGGUUCAGAGGAGAGCAGUGCCUCCCAAACUGUAAUGUGCAUAUGAAUCACCCGGGGAUCCUGUUACAAUGCAGUCUGCUGCAGUAGGUCUGAGGUCUGGCCAGACAUUCCACAUUUCUAACAAGCUCCCACGUGGUGCUGAUGCCGCAGGUCAGAGGACUUCACUGUGAGUAGCAAGGCAGCGCUGGACUAACUUGGUUGAACUCAUGAGUGAUUAUAACAAGGAACAACAGGUGAGCAAGACUCUCAACAGCAGCAGUGGCCACCCUGCAGCCCUUGUGCACAGCCCACGGCCCCUGAAGAAAAAGCGUUUUCUCUUUGGAUAAAAAUAGGCCACCAAACCCAAAACCACAACUGAUGAAAGAGUUAUAGUAUCAGUAAUUUUACAAAUCAAAUGGAGCUGAUGGAGUUAUCAUUUUAGAAUUGGUAUUUCCUGCUGUUUAACAAAUACUUUUUUCUCAGUUGCAUGGCAGUGGUCUAAAGUAAGAAGGAAAAUGGACUUGAGAUUAAAAA
RNAcentral lists this long non-coding RNA (1249 nucleotides) under Homo sapiens (human). RNAcentral's name for it is "HSALNT0365732". The record is from RNAcentral. Lineage: Eukaryota; Metazoa; Chordata; Mammalia; Primates; Hominidae.